This 219-nucleotide unclassified non-coding RNA is filed under the name Melitaea cinxia (Glanville fritillary). Its description in RNAcentral is "misc RNA ENSMCXG00005008437.1". The record is from RNAcentral. Lineage: Eukaryota; Metazoa; Arthropoda; Insecta; Lepidoptera; Nymphalidae.
GGCUCACCUGAUGGUAAGCGAUUACUGUAGCUUAUAGAUACCUGCAACACCAGAAGCAUCGCAAGCGCGUUGUCGACCCAAUCCCCAAUCCCCCCAGGAGCUCUGGUCACCUUACUCACCAACAGGAACACAAUACUGCUUGAAAACAGUAUUAUAUUGCUGUGAUCUUCUGUAAGGUCGAGGUACUACCCCAGUCGGGCUGCUCCAUAUUUUGAGCAG